Molecule: transfer RNA, 71 nt
Filed under: Chloroflexota bacterium
Lineage: Bacteria; Bacillati; Chloroflexota
Description: Chloroflexi bacterium (freshwater metagenome) tRNA-Lys
Rfam family: tRNA
About the family: Transfer RNA (tRNA) molecules are approximately 80 nucleotides in length. Their secondary structure includes four short double-helical elements and three loops (D, anti-codon, and T loops).
Source: RNAcentral
GGGUCGGAAGCAUUCCGGCGAUGCAACGGACUUUUAAUCCGUGGAGCAGGGUUCAAUUCCCUGCCGACCCA